RNAcentral lists this unclassified non-coding RNA (143 nucleotides) under uncultured fungus. RNAcentral describes it as "sequence contains ITS1, 5.8S rRNA gene". The record is from RNAcentral. Lineage: Eukaryota; Fungi.
AAAAAAGAGUUGCAAGACUCGAAAACCAUCGUGAACAUACCUCUCGUCGUUGCUUCGGCGGGCUGCUCGCCAGGGCGCCCGCCGGAGGACCACCAAACUCUGUUUUCUUAGCGUAUCUCUGAGUGGACCACAAAAAUGAAUCA